RNAcentral lists this non-coding RNA (21 nucleotides) under Caenorhabditis elegans. Lineage: Eukaryota; Metazoa; Nematoda; Chromadorea; Rhabditida; Rhabditidae. The record is from RNAcentral.
UGCUUCUUAUCCAAUUCGAAU